GGGGCCAUAGCUCAACAGGGAGAGCAGCGGCUUUGCAAGCCGCCGGUUGCGGGUUCGAUCCCGUUGGCUCCACCA
RNAcentral lists this transfer RNA (75 nucleotides) under Desulfovibrio sp. Its description in RNAcentral is "tRNA-Ala". It matches the Rfam family "tRNA". From Rfam's summary of the family: Transfer RNA (tRNA) molecules are approximately 80 nucleotides in length. Their secondary structure includes four short double-helical elements and three loops (D, anti-codon, and T loops). Lineage: Bacteria; Pseudomonadati; Thermodesulfobacteriota; Desulfovibrionia; Desulfovibrionales; Desulfovibrionaceae. The record is from RNAcentral.